GAUGAACGCUGGCGGCGUGCCUAACACAUGCAAGUCGAGCGAACAGACGAGGAGCUUGCUCCUCUGACGUUAACCGCGGACGUGUGAGUAACACGUGUAUACCCUCCCUGUAAUACUGGGAUAACUUCGAGAAACCGGAGCUAAUACCAUAUAAGAUCUUGAACCGCAUUGUUCAUUAGUGAGAGCCGGCGUUGCUGUCACUUAUAGAUGGAUCCGCGCCUCAUUAGCUAGUUGGUAGGGUAACGGCUUACCAAGGCUACGAUGCGUAGCCGACCUGAGAGGCGGAUCGGCCACACUGGAACGGAGACACGGUCCAGACUCCUACGGGAGGCAGCAGUAGGGAAUCUUCGGCAAUGGGCGAAAGCCUGACGGAGCAACGCCGCGUGAGUGAUGAAGGUCUUCGGAUCGUAAAACUCUGUUAUUAGUGAAGAACAACUUUGUAAGGAAAUAUGCACGUCUUGACGGUACCGAAUCAAAAAGCCCCGGCUAACUACGUG
This 497-nucleotide ribosomal RNA is filed under the name uncultured bacterium. RNAcentral describes it as "partial 16S ribosomal RNA". It matches the Rfam family "Bacterial small subunit ribosomal RNA", at positions 28 to 507 of the family's 1533-position model. The record is from RNAcentral.